This 413-nucleotide ribosomal RNA is filed under the name Nocardia sp. 1040. RNAcentral's name for it is "bacterial SSU rRNA". It matches the Rfam family "Bacterial small subunit ribosomal RNA", at positions 1103 to 1514 of the family's 1533-position model. The record is from RNAcentral. Lineage: Bacteria; Bacillati; Actinomycetota; Actinomycetes; Mycobacteriales; Nocardiaceae.
CCUUAUCUUAUGUUGCCAGCGCGUUAUGGCGGGGACUCGUGAGAGACUGCCGGGGUCAACUCGGAGGAAGGUGGGGACGACGUCAAGUCAUCAUGCCCCUUAUGUCCAGGGCUUCACACAUGCUACAAUGGCCGGUACAGAGGGCUGCGAUACCGUGAGGUGGAGCGAAUCCCUUAAAGCCGGUNUCAGUUCGGAUCGGGGUCUGCAACUCGACCCCGUGAAGUUGGAGUCGCUAGUAAUCGCAGAUCAGCAACGCUGCGGUGAAUACGUUCCCGGGCCUUGUACACACCGCCCGUCACGUCAUGAAAGUCGGUAACACCCGAAGCCGGUGGCCUAACCCUCUGGGAGGGAGCCGUCGAAGGUGGGAUCGGCGAUUGGGACGAAGUCGUAACAAGGUAGCCGUACCGGAAGUG